UACGGGGGGGGCAAGCGUUAAUCGGAAUUACUGGGCGUAAAGCGUGCGCAGGCGGUUCGUUAAGUCAGCUGUGAAAGCCCCGGGCUCAACCUGGGAACGGCGGUUGAAACUGGCGAACUAGAAUCUGGCAGAGGGGGGUGGAAUUCCACGUGUAGCAGUGAAAUGCGUAGAGAUGUGGAGGAACACCGAUGGCGAAGGCAGCCCCCUGGGCUGAGAUUGACGCUCAGGCACGAAAGCGUGGGGAGCAAACAGG
RNAcentral lists this ribosomal RNA (253 nucleotides) under uncultured bacterium. RNAcentral describes it as "partial 16S ribosomal RNA". It matches the Rfam family "Bacterial small subunit ribosomal RNA", at positions 524 to 776 of the family's 1533-position model. The record is from RNAcentral.